AGAGUGAACGCUAGCUACAGGCUUAACACAUGCAAGUCGAGGGGCGAUCAGAUCGAAAGCUUGCUUUGAUGCUGGCGACCGGCGCACGGGUGAGUAACGCGUAUCCAACCUUCCCUAUAGUAGAGAAUAGCCCGGCGAAAGUCGGAUUAAUGCUCUAUGUUGUAUUUAGAAGACAUCUGAAGAAUACCAAAGGUUUACCGCUAUAGGAUGGGGAUGCGUCUGAUUAGGUAGUAGGCGGGGUAACGGCCCACCUAGCCGACGAUCAGUAGGGGUUCUGAGAGGAAGGUCCCCCACAUUGGAACUGAGACACGGUCCAAACUCCUACGGGAGGCAGCAGUGAGGAAUAUUGGUCAAUGGACGAAAGUCUGAACCAGCCAAGUAAGCGUGCAGGAUGACGGCCCUAUGGGUUGUAAACUGCUUUUUAUAUAGGGAUAAAGUCGGGGACGUGUCCCCGUUUGUAGGUACUAUAUGAAUAAGGACCGGCUAAUUCCGUGCCAGCAGCCGC
RNAcentral lists this ribosomal RNA (505 nucleotides) under uncultured bacterium. RNAcentral's name for it is "bacterial SSU rRNA". It matches the Rfam family "Bacterial small subunit ribosomal RNA", at positions 26 to 518 of the family's 1533-position model. The record is from RNAcentral.